CGAGCGGAUGAAGGGAGCUUGCUCCUGGAUUCAGCGGCGGACGGGUGAGUAAUGCCUAGGAAUCUGCCUGGUAGUGGGGGAUAACGUCCGGAAACGGGCGCUAAUACCGCAUACGUCCUGAGGGAGAAAGUGGGGGAUCUUCGGACCUCACGCUAUCAGAUGAGCCUAGGUCGGAUUAGCUAGUUGGUGGGGUAAAGGCCUACCAAGGCGACGAUCCGUAACUGGUCUGAGAGGAUGAUCAGUCACACUGGAACUGAGACACGGUCCAGACUCCUACGGGAGGCAGCAGUGGGGAAUAUUGGACAAUGGGCGAAAGCCUGAUCCAGCCAUGCCGCGUGUGUGAAGAAGGUCUUCGGAUUGUAAAGCACUUUAAGUUGGGAGGAAGGGCAGUAAGUUAAUACCUUGCUGUUUUGACGUUACCAACAGAAUAAGCACCGGCUAACUUCGUGCCAGCAGCCGCGGUAAUACGAAGGGUGCAAGCGUUAAUCGGAAUUACUGGGCGUAAAGCGCGCGUAGGUGGUUCAGCAAGUUGGAUGUGAAAUCCCCGGGCUCAACCUGGGAACUGCAUCCAAAACUACUGAGCUAGAGUACGGUAGAGGGUGGUGGAAUUUCCUGUGUAGCGGUGAAAUGCGUAGAUAUAGGAAGGACACCAGUGGCGAAGGCGACCACCUGGACUGAUACUG
Molecule: ribosomal RNA, 683 nt
Filed under: uncultured Pseudomonadota bacterium
Lineage: Bacteria; Pseudomonadati; Pseudomonadota
Description: bacterial SSU rRNA
Rfam family: Bacterial small subunit ribosomal RNA
Source: RNAcentral